RNAcentral lists this long non-coding RNA (1464 nucleotides) under Callithrix jacchus (white-tufted-ear marmoset). RNAcentral describes it as "lncRNA (ENSCJAG00000084711.1)". Lineage: Eukaryota; Metazoa; Chordata; Mammalia; Primates; Cebidae. The record is from RNAcentral.
UCCCACCCUUGUAGCUGCCGCUCCUGUGUAUCUGAGCCCUUUCAUGGGGCCUGACUGCAUCUGAAUAGCGGACAUUUCACUUCGGAGGUGGGAUUCUAUUACAAAUCAGACGCUUGUCAUUAUGCAAAUGGCUGUCUCACUAUUGCUUAGGAUUUUCGUUUUCCUAUGAAUUAUUCCUUUCUUCAGUGCUUUUUUUAUUCCCCGUGGAAGAAAUGAAAACAAGCGCUGGCUGAUCAAAGGAAUUUUCCAGUCAUUCAGUCAACAGAUAUUUCCUGAGUGUCUGUGCUGGGCCAGGAACUGUUCUAGUCUCAGGGAAACAGUGAGGAAAGGACCGUUUCUGCCGAAGUGGAGCUUGUAUUCCAGGGGAGGAAAGAAGCCAUCGACAAGAGAAUUAAUAAAUGACUUAUGAGAAUGAUACAUGCCAUAAAGACAAUAAAACAUGCUAAACCAAAUCCUAGCUGCUGCAGCCUUGGUGGUGACGUGCAAGGGAUGGUAUGGAUGUGCUUGUGGCAGACUGUGUGGUCCUUCCCAAUUCUUCAACUCUCAGUGUGCACACUCUUUGCCACGUGAUGUUGCUGUUUUUCCUAAUAAGUGCAGAAUGUCCUUCUUCACCUCCAUGGCUUUGCACUUGCCCAUGUGACCUGCUUUGGCCAAUGGGACAUCAGCAGGCAUGACGCAAGCACACCCUUGAAAUCUGCUUGUGUGGUUGGGCUUCACCCGUUGUGUUUCCAUCAUUGCCUUGAGACAACCCUGCCGUGAUUCAUCUGCUGGUCCAAAGAGAAGGUGAAACAUCUUGCAGACAUGUGAGCAAGAAUGAAUCAUUGUGGAAGCCACUCGAGUUCCUGGUGGUUUGUUACACAGCAUCACUGUGGCCACUGCUGACAGAUACAGUGUUCUCUCCCCCUUCAGUAGCACUAGAUGGUAGCGUCUCUCCAUUUCCCCUCCCGCUGCUCCUGAGCCUCUGCCCAGCAACUCUCCCUCCUGGUGAUCCCUCCUGUCCACAAACUCAAGGUUACUUAGAACAACCCUGGCUAUUUUCUAGACUCCAGGGCUGCUCAGCCCUGCCUCCUGCCUCAGUUCCAUCACUCUUGCCUGAAUUCUCCAGGAUUUGUGACUAGAAAGGAGAGAAGUCAUGUGUCAUCUGACUCUGAUGUUCUGCCUUUGUAAUGGUCAUGAAAGGAAGACACGGGGGUAGAGGCAAGCUCCAGAUGCCUUUUCAUCCAGCCCAGGAACCUGCUGAUGGUGGACACGAGGGAGACCCUGAGACGAUGGUGAUGGCUAGAGAAGGCAGGAGCUGGCCUCUGGGAGACGUCACACGCUGCUGAGUCCAGGGGCGUGCGUGUGCUUGAGUGUCCAGAGCAUCUCAACGUGCCUGGGGAAUUCAGGCAACACAAGCAUGUCCAACUCAGAGACUCACUUGUGUUUCUGAAAUCUGCAGCAGAAAUCAGCAAAAGGCAUCACACC